Molecule: unclassified non-coding RNA, 263 nt
Filed under: Hevea brasiliensis (rubber tree)
Lineage: Eukaryota; Viridiplantae; Streptophyta; Magnoliopsida; Malpighiales; Euphorbiaceae
Source: RNAcentral
UUUGUGGGGCUCUUGAUCUCCAUAUUAGAAACAGGUUAAACUUUGGAUGCCUUAAUGCUACUAUUUGUUCUUAGUUAGUGGCAAAAUGAAAUUUACAGUCUCUUGCAUAUGAUGUGAUUUUAUGUUUAUUGUUUUUAUCUAAAAUAAUUUCUUCUGUUUCAUUUUUCUGAGACAAUUAUGUUGUGGCUUAGCCACAGAUUAAAAUUGAAACAUGAAGUAUACUUCUAUUUUGUUGCUGUGUAAAAGCACAGCUAUAAUCAAAG